This 4423-nucleotide long non-coding RNA is filed under the name Coffea arabica (coffee). Its description in RNAcentral is "long non-coding RNA (CARA_LNC005155)". The record is from RNAcentral. Lineage: Eukaryota; Viridiplantae; Streptophyta; Magnoliopsida; Gentianales; Rubiaceae.
AGAGUGAGAGAAAGAACUCUGCAUUUUUUUCUUUGGCAGCAACAACCGAGAGAGAAAACAGAACAUCCGAAUAGCUUUCCCAUUUCUGCAUUCUUUAACCGACCAAAACUGAGAGCUAAAGUGAAGGAUAGGAAGAGAAACUUUGUUAGUUUCUUCACUGAUUAGCUUCAACCGAGAGGAAGAGUGAAAGCUGCUGCAAGUUUAAGAGAAACCGAAGCUAGGAGCAGGAGCAAUCCGCCGUUAUUAAAAUUUAACCGAGAAGGUAAGAAUCUUGUAACCACCUUUUAUUUCUUGAAUAUAACUGAAAAUAUGGGCUGCAUGUUAGUUUUUAGCAAGGAAUAAUAAGAUUUAACAGAGGGGAAUUCUGAUAAGAAGGAAGAAAAGAUGGGAGCUAGACUGAAGUUGUAGGAACGGAGUGUAAGUUGCAUGGGUUGCAGCCUGUGAUCAUUGUGAAAUGGAAACUAAUGACAGGAAAUGCAUGUAAUACGUUAGCCUUAUGUAUUAUGGGAAGUUUAGUUGAAGAAACUUGGGAAAAGAUGGAAUUUUGGGUUGAGACCGUAGGAAGAAACAUGCUGGAAUUUUUCCAGCUUCAUCCGAGAGGAAGAAACUGAAAUUUGCAGCUUAGUAACCGAAAGUAUGGAGUAACUUUCUGCUAGAAGCUCAAACCAUGUGUUAUGUCCUUGUCUUAUCUGAGUAACUAGUGCAGAGUUGUUAGCUUGAGUGAAAAAUUUGCAAGAAUUAACCGGUGGUUCUGUCUAGCUAGCCGGGAGAUGAAGUAAGGAAAUUUUCCAAUUUUCUUGACAGAUUUUUGGGUUCCAAAUUCCUACGUUGAAACUGAAUACCUUGCAUAAUUUUUUAGUUUUAGCAUGUAUGGUGGAGUUGAAUGGGAACUGAAGUAGUUAAUGGAGAAAUCUCUUGUUUAAAAACUGAUUGCUGUCCAAAACAAUCACAGCUUGACCGAGAGAGAGAAAUAGACUUCAGAUCAGUUUUUCCUUUGAAAUUCUGGCUGUAAAAUUUAAUAUGGAUGAUCAAGUUUACUCUGUAGUUGGAGAAUCAUCUUUUGCAUGAUGAGUUGGAGUUAAAACUGAAGAAAAUUAUGGAGAAAGCACCAUAUGUGAAAUUGCUAUACUGCUGGAAAUUGUAAUGUGUUGCUGGCCGAAUUAGUUGAGGCUUUUGGUGGGAUUCUUUUCCGGAAUUGUGUGUUAUUUGUUCUAGUUUGGGUGGGCAAAUUAUGAGCUACGUGUUUAGUGUUUCAAGCAAGUAAAAGAUGGAGAUUUGUUGAACAAUUUGAAUGAUAUUGCUGGAAAUUAUACUUGUUGGCCAAAACAGGGAAGAGAUGAACUUUGCUUGAAGUUUUUGAACAAAAUUCUAAGAUAGUUUGUUGUAACUGUACAUAUAUAUAUAUAUAUAUAUAUAUAUCCAUUUCUAGCAUCUUAACCUUGUUUUGAAUACUUUAAAGAAUUUAAAACUCGAAGGGCUAGUGAAGUGGAACAAAUAGGAAUAACAUGCAAACUAGAGUCUAGUUCAGUCUAAAAGGAAAGAAAUAAAAGUUCCAUCAGCUUUAAUUAUUAAGAUUAGAAUGAAAUGAUUUAAUUUUAGCUCAAAUGUUUUAUAAGAUCUUAAAAUUUAUAUAUGUACGUUAACCUUGUUUUAGAGCUACCAAACCUAAUGGAUUUUGAAGUAAUAUUGCUUAAUUGUGUUGAAUGGUUGAAAUGGUAAUGAGAUUAAGACUUAUAUAAUGUGUUAGAAACUCUAAGGUAAUUUGUUAUGGCUAUAUACACGAAAUGGCUCCUAAUCACUUAAAUUAGUUUUUAUAAUAUUUAAGAGACUAUAAAACUUGAGAAGUUAAGGUUGUGAAAUAAAAUUUAAUUCACAAACAACCUAGAGCUUAGUUAGUCUUAAAAGGGAAAAUGGAGUAUCUAUAAGCCAUAAUUAAUACUGGAUUGAGAAAGUAUAUUCGUUUAAACCUUAUACAAGUUUAUAAACUUGAAGAUAGGUAUUUCAUGGUUUAAAAUUAAUAAAGUCAAUAAGUUUUGAAAAUAAAAUGAUAAAUAAAUAUUGAGAAUGUUAUAGUUGUAUUUUAAGGUCAAACUUGAUUUUAAUAAGUUUAAAUAAAAGAAUAACAAAUGAUCGACUACAAAUUAUAUAUUUACUUUGAACUUAUUAACUUGUACUAGGAAGUAGCCGUGAACCAGGAAACCAACUCGAAACUCGAGAGUAGUCAUUUGAAUCCUUGGUGAGUGUUUUUCAAAUUAUGUGUUAACUGUUUAUGUGUAUGUAUUAUGAAUAUUGUUAAAUGAUUCAUUGUGAAGUGUUUUCAAUUGUCCCUCGCCUUCUAAAUCGGAAGUGUACUUUAUCGCACUCGACUUAGUUUGAACUUGAAGGUAUUAAGCUAAGAAACUCUUGUUCUCUCUCUUAUGUUGCAUUUUUAUUAGAUAGAUGACUUGAAUCUUGAAUUAUAUUGGAUGAUACUCUAGUUUUGGUGAAGAUUAACGAAUUUCAACAAGGAUUAGUGAUUCUGCCCAGUUUUUGGACCCAACUGGAACUGCAUAUUCGUUCAUGAUAAAGAACAAAUCAGUUCUUGCUCAAAACAUGAAAGUUUUAGGGAAUUGAGUUAGCUAGCUAGCUGUAAAAUUUCAGCUCAAUCGGAGCACUGUAGUGAAUGAAAUGACUAAAAAACUCCUGACUGCCCAAAUACCCAGAUUAGCUGACAGUCUUCUAUUUUCUUUGAGAUUGUGAUUUUUUACCUUGAAAUGCAAGAACUGGGUGUCAGUGUCUUCAUAAGAAAUGUAGGUCUCUGUCUUAGCUUUGAAACACCAUAAAAUUUACCUUAAUCCAAUAAGCAUAGCUUCAGUUGUGACUACUGAGAGAUGUCAUACCUACUAUGUGGCUAUUUGUCUUUAAAACUAGUUUCUAACUUCUAGCUUUGAUUUUGAUGGUUGCACUGCUCGAAUUGACUUGUAAUUGGAUAAUAUUGAGUCUAGUUGAAUAGAUAUUGUGUUGAGCUUGCUUAUAUGUUGAAUUGGGCUGAGUUGAGGAAAGUAAUGAACCCAUAAAUGGCUGGAAAAUAGCUAAAUACAAAGGGCAUGCUACCCAAAUUUUCACUCGAAAGUUAGACGUGUGUACUCGCUGUUUGAGCGAAGAUUUGAGGUUGAAUUGAACUUGGAUUGUCUAUGGUAUUUGAGUCUUCUUUCGUAAAGGUAUAUAAGCUAAAAUUUGGCCGAAACUCAUACCCUUGGAAAAAUGAAAGUGGUGACCACUCGGAAUAUAUUUUCCUCAUCUUUUAGACUCAAAUGCGAAUUCCAAAGGUUUAGUUGCUUCUUUAGCAACACCAAAAGAGCGAGCAUGAAUUUUCUAGUAUUUGAUACAUAACAUGAAUCCUAUCUAAACGAGUUUCAUUUACCUGAUCUAUUCAAAUCGAAACUCUUAAGUUUUGAACCCUGGUAAUUUCAAGCUUUUAAAUGAUAUUGUAUCGCAGAUUUGGACUCCAACCAAGGAGUUACACCUGAACGUGAUUUUGACAAGCACUAAAUCGUUGGUGAGUGCUUUCAAAUACCUGAUUGAACUGGACACUGGUUUUCAAUACUUGACCAAUAUGAUCGAAUAAUAUGUGAUUGGUAUGAUUGGGCAAGAGUGUACUUUAUCGCACUUGCCCUAAUGUGAUAUGUACUCGUUUAUUGUUGCAAUUGACUUGAAAUACUUGUGCGUGACUUGUAAGUACUGAGCGGCAGUAUGUACCACACUCGAUCCGAGUGGGAGGUACCUCUCAUUCGCGUCUCCGUACUUUUAUUUUGAUUCAGUCGAUUGGAGAUGUAUCUCAUCGACUUCUUGGGGACCCAAACCCCACUAGCUAGUUAAUCGAGUCGAGCCGGCAAGAGCUUGGUCGAUUAGAUAACGAAUCAUGGGUAUCUAGUGUUGUCGAGUGGAGUGUUAUCUCCUCGACUAAUCGGUAUACUCGAGUACUACCACCAGUGUUUAUCUUGGAGUUCAGGCCCGGUAAGGGGUUUGGAUGCUGGACGGAGAGUAGUUUAAGUGGUGCUCUACUGGAUUGGUUACUUACCUGAAAGUUGACGGAGCGUCAACUAUUACUUGAUCAAAUUCUGGUGAUGCAGUGGGAAUUUGGCUCCUGAGAGCCAUCCAUAUCCUUAUACUUUGAAAUGAUUAGUACUUAUCGUGUUAUUGUUUCGUUUUAAAAGAAAAACUUUACACACGCUCAUUUUGAGAUUUGCUACUUGAAGUGUUAUUGCUCACUUUUAUGAACUUUUCAUGUUCAUUACUUUGCUACGUGAUACUUGCACUUUUAAAUAAUGGUCAACUUGCUAUUUGAAACCUCACUGGGCUUUUAACUCAUUCCACGCCAUUUGUUUUCCUUACAGGGGGUACGAGCGAGGCGUGAGACUAGUACAGAGUAGUCUAAUUUUGA